UACGGGGGGGGCAAGCGUUGUUCGGAAUUACUGGGCGUAAAGGGCUCGUAGGCGGCCAACUAAGUCAGACGUGAAAUCCCUCGGCUUAACCGGGGAACUGCGUCUGAUACUGGAUGGCUUGAGAUUGGGAGAGGGAUGCGGAAUUCCAGGUGUAGCGGUGAAAUGCGUAGAUAUCUGGAGGAACACCGGUGGCGAAGGCGGCAUCCUGGACCAACACUGACGCUGAUGAGCGAAAGCCAGAGGAGCAAACGGG
Molecule: ribosomal RNA, 253 nt
Filed under: uncultured bacterium
Lineage: Bacteria
Description: partial 16S ribosomal RNA
Rfam family: Bacterial small subunit ribosomal RNA
Source: RNAcentral